Molecule: long non-coding RNA, 967 nt
Filed under: Erythranthe guttata (spotted monkey flower)
Lineage: Eukaryota; Viridiplantae; Streptophyta; Magnoliopsida; Lamiales; Phrymaceae
Description: long non-coding RNA (EGUT_LNC002326)
Source: RNAcentral
CACACCAACUUGCCACUCCGAAGAAGACAUGUUUGGUGUGUGGUAGUUUUAGGGGGUCUUCGCCCCCCUUUUGUGGCUGCUCAACGUUAGAGCUCUUUCCAGACAUAUCCAUCUUCUUCUUUUUCUUCUUCACAUGAGCUACAAAAUCAGCCAAACAGAGCACUAAUCACUAACCACAAAAACAAGAAAAAACAAAAAAAAAACCCUAAAUUUCUAGGGUACGAGGUUGAGUUUCUUGAAAAUGGUUAUCUUUCAAGAAACAGCUGAACAGAUAAUUUUACACAUAAAUUAAAUAAUUAUUAAAUUGAAUCGAAUCAAAACAAAAAACAGAGCCCAGAAACAUGUAACUGAAUGCCACCACAACAGUGCUGCUACAGCUAUUUUCCAAAGCUUUAAUUUUUAUUUUUUUUCACUGAAAUUAAAGCAGCACCAUUAAUGCACAGGAAAAAAAACACACACAAACACACACAAUAAAUAGCUGAGACUGAGAGCCCCCCACAGUCAACAGAAUCAGAGACAUAAUUUCAGCGUAAUAAAUAACUAUAACAGACUCAUACAGAAAACAAACACCAUGGUCUGAGUAAACAGAACUAAAAGUGGGCAAAAAUGCAAAAUUUAAUAAAUAAAAAUGAAGAAAGAUACCAUUUUGAGAUUGUGGGCUGUCUUUAAGAACUUCUGUAGUGGUUUCUCUAACAGCGGUUCGAGGAGAAAUUUUAAAAAAAAAACAAAAAAAAAAAAGUUCACUUUUUUUUUUUGUUUUUUGUUUUUUGUUUAGUUGGAAAUUUGAAUUUAUGGGCUUGUUAUUCAAACUUGAGGCUGUUACGUACUGGUGUACAGUGAUCUGAGCAUUCAAGAGAAACAAUAAAGAAGGAGAGAGAGAGAGCGGAAAUACAAGAUCAGAAACUAGAGAGAGAGAGAGUUAAAUGAGAUGUAGAGAGAGAAAAUGGGGUUAUUUAUUUGAAGGAAG